CCCGCCUCCCGGACGGCCUAUUUCAAGGUGCAAGCCCCGCCUCCCGGACGGCCUAUUUCAAGGUGCAAGCCCCGCCUCCCGGACGGCCUAUUUCAAGGCGCAAGCCCCGCCUCCAGGGCGGCCUAUUUCAAGGCGCAAGCCCCGCCGCCCGGGUGGCCUAUUUCAGGGCGCAAGCUCCGCCUCCUAGCCCUAUUUCAAGGUGCACCCUCUGCCUCCUGGGCGGCCUAUUUCAAGGUGCAAGCUCCUCCUCCUAGCCCUAUUUCAAGGUGCACCCUCUGCCUCCUGGGCGGCCUAUUUCAAGGUGCACCCUCUGCCUCCUGGGCGGCCUAUUUCAAGGUGCUCGCUGCACAGAUGGGAGUGGUUUUCUGCAGUGGUCACGGAUGAACUCAAUAACACCCAAGUCACACGCUGCUCCACCCUUACAGUGGCCUCGUAUCACAAAAGAACGUGUAGGUUGCUUUGU
Molecule: long non-coding RNA, 463 nt
Filed under: Pan troglodytes (chimpanzee)
Lineage: Eukaryota; Metazoa; Chordata; Mammalia; Primates; Hominidae
Description: long non-coding RNA NONPTRT018412
Source: RNAcentral